UUUAAACGUUUUAAUUUUUUCGUGAUAGCACUUAAAACAAAUAUGCAUUGUAUAGCUAUACAAAAAUAUUUUCUUCAUAGACUUCUGCUAAAGGCUGUAUUUUCAAAAUUUUUUAUUUUUCUGUUUACUUUGAAAACUGUUUUUGUUAAACACUAAGAUAAAAAUGCAUACAUUAGCGUAGGCCCACACACAUUCAUGGGGUGUUCCACCUCCAUGUCUUGUUGCUCUAGAAUGUCUUCAGGGUCAAUUACAUGCAUGGAGCUGUCAUUUCCUAUGAUAAUAAUGCCUUCUUCUGGAUACCUUCUGAAGGACUGGCCUGAGGAUGUUUUACAGUUAAUAAUUUCUAUGUAAGUAGGAGUACACUCAAAAUGAUGAAGUAUAGUAAAUACACAAACCAGUAACAUAGUUGUUUAUUAGCAAGUAUUAUGUACCAUACAUAACUGUAUGUAUGAAGACUUUUAAAUGACAGUCAGGUUUGAUUAACCAGCAUUGCCACAAAUAUGAGAGUAAUGUGUUUGUUGCAUGGUAACUAUCACAACUACAGUGCCACCAGGUGAUUGGAAUUUUUUAGCUUCAUUAAAAUCUUAUGAGACCAUCAUUGAAUAUGUGGUCCGUCAUUGACCAAAACAUCAUGAUGUGGCUCAUGACUGUAGCUCUAACUGCCUCAGAAGAUCCAGGAAAAAGUAGGUUCCUCUGAGGCCAGGAGCCCAUUCAGUAUCUUAGCCCAUGCCUUGCCUUAUAGGUAUGUGUCAAUCACGUGUCCUGUUUUGCUUUCACAUUUCUUUUAUCCUCCACUAGUUCCCUUUUAUUUGGUUGAUAUGUUUUUUCUUUUUUUCCCAGAUAGAUACAAAUAGCGCAGCCUUUUGCCAAAGAAAUGAUAUCUUGUUUCCUUUGCCAGGAGCUGUGUACUUGCAACAGUAAUAUAAAUGUGCGGCCCACAUUAGGUACUCAAGCAACUUGUCAUUUGUUUGAAAAGGAGCCCUCUACUUGACUACAAGAAACAGGAGCCAAAUGAGCUUGAUUCCUUCCUAUACCAGCCAGCAAUGCAAUUACAAGAACAGGGACUGGGGAAGGACAAAGUGAUCUGUCACCCAUGCACACAGGUGCAGGGGCUAUGUCCUUGAAGUGGUUGGUUGUGCUUGGGACUCUGCUUUGGUCUGUUAAUUAUAUAUUGUAACAUGGGAUUUCAUAAGUGACUGUAAUUCAUUGGUAAUUUCUUGAGAAAUUACAAUUUUUGAAAGGAAAGUUUUUUUUUCUUUGUGUCCCCUGAUGGAUUCUCAUGGUUUGUAAAAUCUUUAGAAUUCAUAAUCCUUAGGUAAUACACUUUGUAGAAACAGCAGGAGUGUGAGGAUCUGCAAACCUUCUUUUCUUCACUGAUGAGUAUAAAAAUGCUGUGGUUUACUUCAACUGUCGAAAGUGGGACUUUCUUCAUAUUUAAGCAGUGGUGUUCUCUUUUCAUGCUGAAAAGCAUGAAUUGUCAAAAAUGGACAUCUUGCCAUGAAUAAAGAUGAAAACUGAGUAGGUGACUCACAAAUGUGCUUGACAAGAGAGAAAUGGUUUGAAUAUAGAGUGUAUAUAUACUCUUCUGCUAAAAACUUGGGAGACCAAACAAGUCUGAUUGCAAUGGGUAACCAGCAAACAGGUACAGGGACAUCAGUGUGUUCUCAUGAUACCCACAUCGCCAACCAAACCUCUUCUGUGUGCUCUUGUUUGUGAGACUAAGAUUCAGCUCUCUUCAGACUAGGAUCACAGCUUGGGUGUGAUUUGAUCCUGCUUCAAGCUGGCACAGCCUCAGAAGCCCUCUACCAUCAGAAUCGUGCUCAGAGGAAAUAGCUGGAGACCAUUCUUGAAGAACUGUUAUCUUUAGUACUGGAGUUCAGUGUCCUGUUUGGGUCUCACUGACAUGCUAUUCCAGGGACACUCACUGGCAUCUGAAACCUCAUUCUGGGAUCUGGGAAUGAAACAGAAUUCAGGCAGGAAGCCUUAGAAGUGCCUUAUGUUCAGAAAGACUCUGUGUCCUCUUAAGGGAGCAUCAUUGGGUUCCUGCAUUACAUGCUGCAGAUUACCAGGACAAUGCCUGCUCCCCCAGGAGUUUGCAAUCUUCAUGUAAUUUAUAAAAACGUGUCCAUCCACGUUAAUCUAAACAAACAGUUCUCAAUGGUGCUAGUGGUGGGAGGAAAGGGCUGCUCCCGAAGUCAUUCUUUGGCAAUGUCUGAAGACAUUUGUAAUGACUGAGGGACUGAGUGCUCCUGGCAUGCCAAGUAGUGAAGAAAUGCUGCUAGAUAUGCUGCAAUGCACAGGAGAGCUCUGGGAUAACAUAAAGUAUUAUCCAGUCCCAAAUGGGAAACCCUGUUUUAAAUUUUUACUUGAGACAGGUUUUAUCCUUUACUUAGCACAAUUCUUUAUGUAUAAUAAAGGGAUUUGCUUCUUUGUUCAUCAACUAACAGAGGUUCCUAACAGAUUGUAUACCAUUUCAUAAAUAUUUGUCAAAAGGAUUAAUAAAUAUUAAAGUGGAUUAAAUUUAAUAAUGCAAUAUAAAGAAUAAUGAUGUGGGGGGUAGAACUGGGUUUGUAUUUUUACUCCAUAAUUUAAUAUUCUGUAGUUUUGAUCAAGUUACUUAACAUUUCAGAAUCUUGGUUGUAUACUAAUAUAGGAUAUUAGUACUCACUACUGUACUUAGAUUUGAAUAAAAUAUAAUGUAUGUACAUAAUAGUUUCUUAUAGGAUGCAUUUUUUGUCCCUUCUAUGGCUAAAUAAAUUUUGAAAGGGUGAAUGCAUAGCUUUUUAAAUUGAUAAUCCUACAUUAGAUAUCCCACAACGUAUUAUUUUGGGGUUAUGUGUUCAAUUUUCUUUUGAAUGACAUCCUUUGUGAAAUCAAGGUUAUUCUGGCUACUGUUUUCUUUUGAUUGUUGUUGCAGCCUUACAGUAGAAGGAUUGAGUUUGUAUUUGGGUCUGUAUGCUGUUACCUGUUCUUUGUGUGCAAAAAUGUAAGCACUAAAUGCUCCAGAUGGUACCACAGAUGCGGAAAGGUUAAGAGAUGUAAUCAAUUGUCAUACCGGGGAGGCACUCAAUGUGAUUUUGAGUUUAUUGUGAGUCCCUACUGACUGAAUUAGAAUGUCAUGUUCUGUGACAGGAUCGUAAUAGAUUAGAUGCUUGCUCCUCUCUGCUCUUCUGGAUAAAUAAAGGGGAAAUGCAGUUGUGAAUUGCCUCACUCAGUGGUGGGGACUUCCAUGAUUGUCUGAGAAUGUCCACUCACACUCUCCACCUCACAGUUCAAACUAUUUAAGCUCAAACCUUGACAUCUCCUCUGUUGUGGAACAAAUGAAUCAUAGUAGUAUCAGAAUAUACCAGAAAAUGCUGUGCCUGCUGAAGGAAUAAAGGGAGGGAGAAGACUCCAAUUCUGAAGGGGAAAGCUCAAAGUUUGCCUUUAGUUUGAGGAAGAAAGCAGCACCUGAGGUGGUAUUGUUUGGUAAUAGAGUAAUAGAAGGUUGCUUGAUAAUAGGUUUCUUUCUUACAUAAAUUGGGAAACCCAUAAUUUGAGAAAAGUUAUUUUCCACAGGUAAGAAAGAAUAGCAUGUAUUAUAUAGGUAGGCUAAUGCCCAUAAACCACCUAAAGCCCUUUGAAAAUUAUUAACUUUUUUGGCAAGUCUAGGUCAUGUAAUUUCCUUCUUGAUAGCAAUACUUUUGACCAUGUAAUAUUGUAAGCCAUCAUAAUAUGGUGGCUCAGCCAUUCAGUAGUAGUAGAAAAUGUGAAAAAAAAAAAAGUUUUGAAAUAGAGGCUAUGAUAAGCUAUUGCUCUUAAAACUAUAUGAGAGGUAAUUUCAUUUUAAAAUUGGUUUGAUAAAGUCACUUGACAUCACACUGUGGCAUCUGAAAGUAAAAGUUCUGGACUAGAAAAUCUUCAGUCUUCAAUACGGCUCUCAUGAGCUUCUAUGGCAAUUACACUCAGCUGUGAUACUCAAAUGUGACGAACUCAUACAAGUUGUAAGCCUAACCUAACAUUAAGUGACAGUUAGUGAAAAAAAUUACUAUACUAAUGUUUUAACUGAUAUUUCUCGUUGAUAAUGGAUUAAAUCUUCUAAGAUAAAGUUAAUAAAAUAUGUAAACUAGCUUGUGAAAUUAUAAUUAUUGUACUAACAGGUAAGUACAAAUGUUUUUUGUCACAAUUCCCUUAGAAUAUCAUUGUUAAUAAAAUUUUAAGAAGUUUUAAAGUGAGAAGCAUGAGGACUUAAAAUUAGCUUCCUUGGUUUUCUUGAGUUUAUGGAAUAUAUUUUCAUCUUUUAGUCAUAGUUAUGUUUUUAAAUAACUCUGUUCUGCUCCAUGAGAGACAUUUCAGUUCUAAAUGUAUGCAACCAAAUUAUCUCUUAACCCUCAUUUUCAAACUGCAGUUCAAUCAGUAUACUCCAGAUGGCACACAAUGAUGAUAAAAUUAUGCAUAUGUUACAUUGAGGGAUUGAAUAUGCAAACAGAAGGAGCUGGUUAACUAAGGCUUUUAAAUUGCUUCAGGACUUUACCAUUCUCCUACAUAAUGAAAAAAAACACAGAUAAUGUUUUGCUUAGUUUUAGGAUUUGACACUUUUUAAUAUAGCAAAAUGAAAUGCAAUUGUAAUCCAUAAUAGUCCACAUGAAAUUUUGCCAAUGUCAAUAUAAAAGCAAAUGUUUUCCUACAUAAGUCUGUACAUAGUGAUGCAUUUUUACCUUAGUUUAUUACCAGUGAUUUUCAGAUUAUACUUCCCUCAUGAGAAAAAACCAAUCUAAAUUAAUAUAUGUCACAAAUUAAUAGGCAUUUUUCUUUUCCUAACUACAUGAUUGGGACGUCAGGUCAUCCUCUUUUGUUUGCAUAAUCUUAGAAAAACAUAAUAUUUGGGGGAAUAUAUAGGGAAGAAAAGCAAACAAAAGUCAUUUAUCUCUAAUUACCAAAGGAUUAUCAACUGUUCUAUUAUUGAAUAAUGUUUUCACAGCUCUAGGGCUCUUUAGUGUGAAAGCUACUAAUCAGAUCCUUACAGUCACAUACAAAAAUAGUUAAAGAAAUCAUGUAUUUUUUCAAUGUACUGUUACACUGUUGUCUUCAGUAAAUCUACUCAAUUCCAAGGACAAUUGUUUGUUUCAGUAAAAAGCAUGUCCAUAUAGUUUAGAUAACUGUUAGUAUAGUUUUUAAGGAUUAAAGAAAAUCGAUGGUAGCUUAGCAGUAAACUCUUCUAUAUGACAACUUUGGAUUAUACGUAUAUAUAUAUAUAUAUAAUUUUCUACCUAUCAACAUCCAACCAAAAAUUAUUAUUUUGAAAUGUUUAGUCUUACUGCCUAAGGUAGGUUUGUGUAAAUUGGUGAUACUUUUUUUUUAAUAGACUUUCUUAGUUGGGAAGUCCUUUAUUCAUACAGGAAACUGGGUGUUUAUUUUUUUUUCUGUAGUUUCAUGCAUUGAUUUUGAUGAACAUUUCAUGCUAAAGGAGUUUCUAAAGUAGAACAAUUCAGAAUCCAUGAAUAGUAAUUGAGCCCUUUAGUUCUGCUCUAAACUUAAAACCAUUAUUCUCCAUUUACAGCAGACAAAUCAUGUUGCUCUACAGAACACUGCUCUGUCAUUUUAGUGUUUUGUGGUGGUUGCUUCCAGUGAGCUGGGCUGGAAUAUUAAACUCUCUUUGCUUCCUAUGCUCUCUCUUGCUGGGCUGGGCACAUUUAGGGUUCUGUUUGAAAUGGGCAAAAAGCAAUUCUGUUGUUCAUAAAGAAUAACUUGUAAGCUGGUGUGGGUUCCUGUACAUUCUUUAUUUUGUGAAGAGAAUGUGCUAUUUGUCAGGCUUUGAAUCUCUGGCAACCGGCUUGCUGAAACUCAGUUUAAAUGUACUGUCGUGCAUAAACAAUCAAAUGUAAAACAUAAUAAAAGUCUCUUCUUCUCACUGUAUUUCUCACAACAAACAAAUCAGCUCAAUACACUAUUCUAUGUACGGGGAGUUGUAUCUGUCAGAAACUAAUUUUAAGUGUCAUGUAAAAACAAAAAGAUAAUAGAAUAGUGAAAUAUUGCUUUUAAUAUUAAAAACGAACUCUAGCAUUUGAGAAAAAGUAGCUAUUAUGGUGCUUGCAGAGUGAUGUAGCCAAAAGCCCCUGUGCUGAGAGCUCAUUUCAUAGCAGGGCAAUCAUUUUCUAACAUGAACUGUCCUGUUACAAAAGUUGUCCGAAUACAUGUUUGGAUUCUCAUGAUCUGUUUUGUUUGCCUGAUGGAGAAAAACUUCGAGUAGCUCUUAAAAAACAAACAUACUUCUUUAACCAAAAAAAUAAAAUUUGUACUGGAAGCAC
This is a non-coding RNA of Macaca mulatta (Rhesus monkey), 6287 nucleotides long. NCBI's taxonomy places the organism in Eukaryota, Metazoa, Chordata, Mammalia, Primates, Cercopithecidae. The record is from RefSeq and is a predicted model, not a curated record.